Molecule: ribosomal RNA, 253 nt
Filed under: uncultured bacterium
Lineage: Bacteria
Description: partial 16S ribosomal RNA
Rfam family: Bacterial small subunit ribosomal RNA
Source: RNAcentral
UACAGAGGUCUCAAGCGUUGUUCGGAUUCAUUGGGCGUAAAGGGUGUGUAGGUGGCGCGCUAAGUCGGGUGUGAAAUUUCGGAGCUUAACUCCGAAACUGCAUUCGAUACUGCGGUGCUUGAGGACUGGAGGGGAGACUGGAAUUCAUGGUGUAGCAGUGAAAUGCGUAGAGAUCAUGAGGAAGACCAGUGGCGAAGGCGGGUCUCUGGACAGUUCCUGACACUGAGGCACGAAGGCCAGGGGAGCAAACGGG